GGAUGUGAGGGCGAUAGCUACAUUAUCUGUCAUCCCACUGAUCACCAGGGUUGAUUCCGCUGAUCUGGCUGGCUUGGCGGGUGUCCCCUUCCUCCCUCACUGCUCCAUGUGCAUCCCUCCCAAAGCUGUGUGCUCAGGUCAAAGAGGACAGCUUCCAUAAAUAGAAAGAGGAUGGCCUUCCACGAAUAGACACGGACCGGUGUUAGGUCGAGGGUAUACGAGUAGCUGCUAGAACCUCCAAACAAGCUCUCAAGGUUCAUUUAUAAACUCAUCUGCUCUGCAGCUUUGGUCAAGUAUUUGAGUCUCUCAGUGCCUAUAAUGAUUUUUUUU
Non-coding RNA from Erinaceus europaeus (western European hedgehog), 330 nucleotides. The record is from Rfam. NCBI's taxonomy places the organism in Eukaryota, Metazoa, Chordata, Mammalia, Eulipotyphla, Erinaceidae.